GUUUCUGUAGUGUAGUGGUUAUCACAUUCUCCUCACAUGUGAUAGGUCCCCGGUUCGAAACCGGGCAGAAACA
Molecule: non-coding RNA, 73 nt
Organism: Merluccius polli (Benguela hake)
Lineage: Eukaryota; Metazoa; Chordata; Actinopteri; Gadiformes; Merlucciidae
Source: the annotation of a GenBank genome assembly